AAGAAAAAGAGGCAACAGCGAGAGAAGAAUCAAUUCAACCGAAAGAAGAAAAAGAAGCAGAUGAAGAAAAACAAGCAAUAGCUGCUGAACUAAUCGGAGGGGGUGGUUCUACCAAAGACACAAAGGAAGCG
Molecule: small RNA, 131 nt
Filed under: Asterionellopsis glacialis
Lineage: Eukaryota; Bacillariophyta; Plagiogrammaphyceae; Rhaphoneidales; Asterionellopsidaceae
Description: partial Betaproteobacteria transfer-messenger RNA
Source: RNAcentral